AAAAUCCGCGUGGCUUAGAUGAGGCGUGAUGACGAGGAUCCUCGGAUCCGAAGUGAGUGAUACCCAGCUUCCAGGAAAAGCCUCUAAGCUUCAGUCAUAGAGUGACCGUACCGCAAACCGACACAGGUGGGCUGGUAGAGAAUACCAAGGCGCUUGAGAGAACUCAGGAGAAGGAACUCGGCAAAUUGAUACCGUAACUUCGGGAGAAGGUAUGCCCCUGGUACGUGAAGGCCCUCGCGGCCGGAGCGGAACGGGGUCGCAGAGAAUCGGUGGCUGCGACUGUUUAUUAAAAACACAGCACUCUGCAAACACGAAAGUGGACGUAUAGGGUGUGACGCCUGCCCGGUGCCGGAAGGUUAAGUGAUGGGGUGCAAGCUCUUGAUCGAAGCCCCGGUAAACGGCGGCCGUAACGAUAGCGGUCCUAAGGUAGCGAAAUUCCUUGUCGGGUAAGUUCCGACCUGCACGAAUGGCGUAACGAUGGCCACACUGUCUCCUCCUGAGACUCAGCGAAGUUGAAAUGUUUGUGAAGAUGCAAUCUCCCCGCGGCUAGACGGAAAGACCCCAUGAACCUUUACUGUAGCUUUGCAUUGGACUUUGACGGGACUUGUGUAGGAUAGGUGGGAGGCUAUGAAACCGGGACGCCAGUUCCGGUGGAGCCAUCCUUGAAAUACCACCCUGGUGUCGUCGAGGUUCUAACCCAGGCCUGUGAAUCCAGGUCGGGGACCGUGCAUGGUGGGCAGUUUGACUGGGGCGGUCUCCUCCCAAAAGGUAACGGAGGAGUACGAAGGUCACCUAGGUACGGUCGGACAUCGUACUGAUAGUGCAAUGGCAAAAGGUGGCUUGACUGCGAGACCCACAAGUCGAGCAGGUGCGAAAGCAGGUCAUAGUGAUCCGGUGGUUCUGUAUGGAAGGGCCAUCGCUCAACGGAUAAAAGGUACUCUGGGGAUAACAGGCUGAUUCCGCCCAAGAGUUCACAUCGACGGCGGAGUUUGGCACCUCGAUGUCGGCUCAUCACAUCCUGGGGCUGUAGCCGGUCCCAAGGGUAUGGCUGUUCGCCAUUUAAAGUGGUACGUGAGCUGGGUUUAAAACGUCGUGAGACAGUUUGGUCCCUAUCUGCCGUGGGCGCUGGAAGUUUGAGAGGGCCUGCUCCUAGUACGAGAGGACCGGAGUGGACGCACCCCUGGUGUACCGGUUGUGACGCCAGUCGCAUCGCCGGGUAGCUAUGUGCGGAAGAGAUAACCGCUGAAAGCAUCUAAGCGGGAAACUCGCCUCAAGAUGAGACUUCCCCGGGGCCUCGAGCCCCCUGAAGGGUCGCUGAAGACCACAACGUUGAUAGGCCGGGUGUGUAAGCGUGGCAACACGUUCA
RNAcentral lists this ribosomal RNA (1366 nucleotides) under metagenome. RNAcentral's name for it is "bacterial LSU rRNA". It matches the Rfam family "Bacterial large subunit ribosomal RNA", at positions 1537 to 2889 of the family's 2925-position model. The record is from RNAcentral.